Molecule: ribosomal RNA, 497 nt
Filed under: uncultured bacterium
Lineage: Bacteria
Description: partial 16S ribosomal RNA
Rfam family: Bacterial small subunit ribosomal RNA
Source: RNAcentral
GAUGAACGCUGGCGGCGUGCCUAAUACAUGCAAGUCGAGCGAACGGACGAGAAGCUUGCUUUUCUGAUGUUAGCGGCGGACGGGUGAGUAACACGUGGAUAACCUACCUAUAAGACUGGGAUAACUUCGGGAAACCGGAGCUAAUACCGGAUAAUAUUUUGAACCGCAUGGUUCAAAAGUGAAAGACGGUCUUGCUGUCACUUAUAGAUGGAUCCGCGCUGCAUUAGCUAGUUGGUAAGUGAACGGCUUACCAAGGCAACGAUGCAUAGCCGACCUGAGAGGGUGAUCGGCCACACUGGAACUGAGGCACGGUCCAGACUCCUACGGGAGGCAGCAGUGGGGAAUCUUCCGCAAUGGGCGAAAGCCUGACGGGGCAACGCCGCGUGAGUGAUGAAGGUCUUCGGAUCGUAAAACUCUGUUAUUAGGGAAGAACAUAUGUGUAAGUAACUGUGCACAUCUUGACGGUACCUGAUCAGAAAGCCACGGCUAACUACGUG